RNAcentral lists this ribosomal RNA (424 nucleotides) under uncultured bacterium. RNAcentral's name for it is "partial 16S ribosomal RNA". It matches the Rfam family "Bacterial small subunit ribosomal RNA", at positions 360 to 776 of the family's 1533-position model. The record is from RNAcentral.
AAUUUUUGACAAUGGGGGAAACGCUGAUCCAGCCAUCCCGCGUGUUUGAUGAUGGCCUUCGGGUUGUAAAGUACUUUUGGUAGAGAAGAAAAGGUAUCUCCUAAAACGAGAUACUGCUGACGGUAUCUGCAGAAUAAGUACUGGCUAACUACGUGCCAGCAGCCGCGGUAAUACGUAGGGUGCAAGCGUUAAUCGGAAUUACUGGGCGGACAGCGUGUGUAGGCGGUUCGGAAAGAAAGAUGUGAACUCCCAGGGCUCAACCUUGGAACUGCAUUUUUAACUGCCGAGCUAGAGUAUGUCAGAGGGGGGUAGAAUUCCACGUGUAGCAGUGAAAUACGUAGAUAUGUGGAGGAAUACCGAUGGCGAAGGCAGCCCCCUGGGAUAAUACUGACGCUCAGACACGAAAGCGUGGGGAGCAAACAGG